AGCAGCCGCGGUAAUUCCAGCUCCAAUAGCGUAUAUUAAAGUUGUUGCAGUUAAAAAGCUCGUAGUUGAAUUUCGGGGUCAGUAGUUUGGUCGUGCCAAUGGUAUGUACUGGGCUCACUGAUUCCUCCUUCCUGAUGAACUGUAAUGCCAUUAAUUUGGUGUUGCAGGGAAACUGGACUGUUACUUUGAAAAAUUAGAGUGUUUAAAGCAAGCUAAACGCUUGAAUACAUUAGCAUGGAAUAAUGAAAUAGGACGUUCGAUCCUAUUUCGUUGGUUUCUAGGAUUGACGUAAUGAUUAAUAGGGAUAGUUGGGGCAUUAGUAUUCAAUUGUCAGAGGUGAAAUUCUUGGAUUUAUUGAAGACUAACUACUGCGAAAGCAUUUGCCAAGGAUGUUUCAUUAAUCAAGAACGAAAGUUAGGGAAUACGAAGACGAUCAGAUACCGU
RNAcentral lists this ribosomal RNA (444 nucleotides) under uncultured Glomus. Its description in RNAcentral is "SSU rRNA". It matches the Rfam family "Eukaryotic small subunit ribosomal RNA", at positions 569 to 1018 of the family's 1831-position model. The record is from RNAcentral. Lineage: Eukaryota; Fungi; Glomeromycota; Glomeromycetes; Glomerales; Glomeraceae.